This is a long non-coding RNA of Lineus longissimus, 8720 nucleotides long. RefSeq lists it as uncharacterized. The record is from RefSeq and is a predicted model, not a curated record. The transcript has 3 exons. Lineage: Eukaryota; Metazoa; Nemertea; Pilidiophora; Heteronemertea; Lineidae.
UAAGGAGUCAACUGGCGAUUGUUAUGCUACAGGAGACGACUCCUUCAGAAAAAAACCGUUAAACCCUGCGGCUGAAAUCAAAUCUCUCAAUUUCUUUUACUUGUUUUGUGACUUGGACGCCUUAUUUGUCAGCGCAAUCAAUGCCAGAAGGAGGGUCGUCCCUAAGUGGCUUCACAUUGAACUUCUGAGCACGUGGUUCCCGCCCAUUCGGUGCAGGAGUGAGGUGCCAGCAGCCAAUGAAAGUCGCACCCCGUGUUCGUCACGUACCAACCAGUCACGUGACAAUCAGUGGAUAAAAAGGGAAAUUUUGCGCGGGAGCACCAGUCAACAAUAAUAUCAGCAAAAGUGGAGGUUAACUUAAUGUCUCCCAAAAGAAGUUAGAAACCACUUCUUCGUUCUUAAUAUAUAUAACAGCAUUGGAUUAUAGAGUGUUUCUCGAGGAGGGUACUCUACUUCCCCAAACAUUAGUUGAAACAAACAAACAAUAUGCAUAUUGAGGAAGCUGCAGAUGCAGUGAACUGCGACGUGGAAGCUUUGAUGCUUCAAGAACACAACGGAUUAUUUACACCGAAUUUGGACUAUGGUGCACAACCUUCUUGGGAUUACUCUAUGAAUUCCAGUGCAAUGGAUCAGAGGACUUUAGACCAAGUUGCUCUCCAUUUGCGCCUUAUAGGCGAUGACUUGGACUCUCACAGUGUUUUGAAGCUCCGUCGGAACUUACCGUUACAAGUCCUUGCUUGGAGAAAUGUCUUUGAGGUGCUACGGCCGACAGGUUUCAUGUUGCAGGCCCUGAUUUGGAUCUGUGACAAAUAUGUCGAACACCAGUUAUAGCAUUGGGACUAUUUGCAAUCUUGUAUGUUCGAUUUACCUCAAGAUUAUGACUUAGGAGAUGUUGUGCUGAAUAAGGUCCAUCGUUUGAUGAUGAACAAGUCGUAAUCUAGAACAAGUCCACAUCGCAGCGAUAAAUAAACUAUGCAGUUGUACCGGGGAGGUAUUUAGUCAAAGAUCAUUCUUUAUACUUCUAGGCUCCGGCUCUGAACUACAAGAAUAAUUAUGUUCACGAGUGAUAGUCUAGAGAAGGGUCAACGGAUUGACAACUGCUCUGGUUUGUCAUCUUGUGACAUCAUCAACCGACCCUCAUACUCUGCUGCGGGAUAGCUGCGAUUUUUUAGAAAUGAACUAUUUCAACGUCAUUAUCAGUGUGUGCGUCCUUUCUGGUCCUGUUUUUUGAGUGCCUCGGGAUAUCUCAGGACAAAACUUUGGUCCAUACGCUACAGGGAUUGCAUCAGGUUGUUCACUUUCCACUGAAAGGACAUUUAUGUAUUGAACGUGUACUUCGUUCCGUUGUCUGCAUACGACUACAUUCCAAUUUUUAUAUGUCUUCUUAUGGUACAGACGAAAUGGACAUUCUUGACUUCGUCACGAAAGUAAUUUGCUCUGCACAUGUGCAGCCAAUGUCCACCUCGAGAGGCCAAAUAUUUGUGGUAUUCAAAGAUGACUACCUCACUACUACUACUAGGACGUUGUUUUUUAGGAAUCCAGCAAACAUUAUGCCUUUUCCGUUAUCAGAUCUAAAUACAAGAACGGGAGACUGUUUAUUGCGAGAUUGGCUAUCCUUUUCCAUACAGGUGCCCAUCUUCCUGUUCAUCUCAUAGACAAGCCGUGCACACAUCAGUUAUUUAUUAAUUUUGGAGAACAAGCCGAGGAGUUUAUCGGAACUUUUUUGAUUGCUGAACAAUGCAAAACUCCAGGGAAUGCAGCAAGUCUUUUCUAUUUUCGGUGGUAUGACAACACUGAGUGGUACAUGUAAGUUGUAGGUUUUUCAGAUUACCGUUUUAUUGAUUUUAUGGCAUCAUUCUGGAUGCUGGUUUAAACUUGACAUUAUUGAUAUAUGUCUUCCUUUUGAAUCCUGAAUAGGAAUUACGAUUUAACUUCCAAACAUUUACCUUCUAUGAAGUACUCAUUUCUGCAAUUAUGACAUAUUCCUUCAAAAGUCCAUAUAGGUAGAGAUACCUUGGCUAUUUGGGUGGGUUGAAUUAUUAAUUUAGAAUUUAGGAAGUUCUGUCUUGUCUCUGAAUAGAGCGGAGGCCAAUCUAAUGCUGCACUUUAGGUCUGUUCUAAAGGUUGGCUGAAUCAUUUUAUAUGAAAACCACGACUGGCUUCCAAUCCUGAGCGAGAUUAACAAGAAUUGAUUUUCGUACGGAUUUCUGACAAAAGAAUAAGAAAAUAUCAUGCAAAUGCAAAUACUUGAAUCAACGAAGGGCAUUCAUGACUUUUGGCCCUGUAUCUACAGCUUUCUAGGCUUAUCCCAGCUUGUUAUCCAGCAAUAGGUUUUCAUUGUGUAGAAAACGGUCCUUAUGUUUUUGUUCCAAGUGAACAAUGUUUCUUUCUUCUCACUUGACAAACAGACCUCCAACAACAUGCUUCAAUGGGCUUUGGUUCAUACAUUGAAAAAUAUCAAUAUGACAUGUAAUAUUUUGUCGCGGAAUCCUUCUCGGAAUUGGUACAGGUGCCAGGACUCAAAACAGGAGUAUUAUAACUCCAACACUCUAUAAUGUGAGUGCUAUCAUCAAAGCCAAAAGGACAUAUGACACGUGGCCUUUUUGUGAUCAAGCAUGAACUAAUUGAAUUUAGGAGCAGUGCAGCUGAUGACAUCAAGUAUGCCAAAUAUUUUCAGGGAUCAUGUAAAUUCCCAACUGACUGAUGUCACCUGUUAAAACCAGAACAUAUUAAGAUAGACAGUAACCCAUCAAUAUUUCUGGCGACAUCAAAAUUGAUGAACAAUUUCUGAGGGCACUUGUUGGGAUUUCGAGUGUUUUCAACCGCAAUGUGAGACAGUCAUUAAAAUUCCCAACUUACUGAUGUCACACCUGCACAUAUUAAAAGAGCAAACACGCCCAAAUCUCAGCUACUCCCUGUCAAACAUGACCAUUGGAAGGAAAUUUCUUUUUGUGAGCUAGUGUUUUGAAGAAAACAUGUUAUUUCGGAGUUUUCCUGUUUUCUUCAAAUUUUUUAUUCCAUGUAAAUGGUUCGGCCGUGGAAAGACGUCUAUUUCUUCCAAUGUGUUGCUUAAUAAGAAUAAUCAUCAAAUUCGAGAUGCUUAAAGUUAAAACAAAUGAAUACAGGUUUGAAGUAUGAUUCUGGAAGUCUGUGCCAUAGUCACUUGAGAGAUACCACCAACUCGUGUUCAAGACAAUACUGAGACAAUGGUCCCUUGAUCGGACAAAAGUAAUCAAGGUAUCUUAACCUCUUGGGUAGAGCAGUUCCCUGAACAUGCCAAAAUACUCGAAAAGGCUCUAUUGUUGUCUUGUAGGUAAUUUGCUAAGGCUAUAGACAAUAAAAUAAGAGGAUGAAGUCACAUAAUCACAACCAAUCAGAUGUAGGUCAUUUCAUCUUGCUACAGGCAUAACAUUAUUCAAUGAAGUUUGUUUAUCUGAGUUUGGUUUACCUAUGUAUGAGACUAAGAAUAUCAUUCUCCAGAGACAUAAUAGGCCUACAGUAUGUAGGUUUGUGCCAAAAAAGCUUGUUCCAGCUUUCAUUGUAUACUUUCAUUUGCAUCAGUUCUAUAGCUAAUUCCUUUUUGCCCUGUUAGAACACCUGACGGAACCCCUUGUCCAGUCGAGUUGAAGGAUAGUGUGAUAAAACGCCCCUCCUAAGUAUCAUAAGGUCAGAAGAUACUUUAUACCAAACAUUUUGAGCCCCCUUCUUCGUACGGUGAUAUCGAGGGCCAGUUCCGGGGGCCAGUUUCAGGGUCAACAAGGUCAACAGUCAAUGAUAUUAUCUAUGGUUGGUUUGCACUAUAGUUCAAAAGCGAUUCCAGGAUCCGAAGGGUUGCUAGAAGGAUUCCGGAAUAGCUCCGAGUGACAGUAACUUUUCAUUAUUAAUAGCUCGUGGCACUAAUUUUUCGAGACCCUGUGCAAGAGCGUGAUGCAAUCUAAUAAAUGUCACUAAAGCACAAAGUUAUGGUGGAACCCUCUUUUAUUCGGACUUCCCGCUUUCCAGCGGUCUCCAGAUUUGAGCGAUUUUACUGUACUGUUUAGAAUAAUCAAGGCUCCCUCCAGUGUAUAUAUUAUAUUAUGCGUUGUAAAAUAAUGGACUCGUUUUACCUUUGCUGAGUGUGCCACUUUUAUUUUGAUAUUUAGUACAUUGUAGUUGUAACAUUUUAAUGGCAUAACUUAUCAGACUUGCCUCGUUUCUGUCUUCAGAAAAUCCUUGAGCCACAAUUUGACAUGGGGCGAUGUAGAAUUCAAGAUUUCAUGGCUCCUUUAUCAAUUUCAAUGCCAUCAUUUCGAAUUUUUACCUAAGGUCACAAUUUGAAUGAUAAACUUCUCUGUAAAGGAAAACCUCUUAUUCGGAAAAUUGUGUAAUAUCAAUAGACAUCCUUUGAAUCCACCAACAGAAGGUCUUGCUACGACUUUUGAUUGGUCGGUGUAUUAACGUAUGCAUUCACUAUACACUAACUGAUUUUCAUAGAGUACUAACUAUAUUGUUUCCAAGGGCCUACUGAUUGAGUAAAAAUGGGUUAUCUUCAGUUUGCAGCCUAUGGAUGCUUUAUAUUACGCUCAACGAGAUGUAGCCACAUUUUCUUAUAACUCUUUCCUCUUGUGUUCAUUCUAGUUUCAAUGUAUUUUUAUUGUACAUCUCAAUUGUUUUGUAAAAAACGUUUCUACAUUUUUUUGCAAUUUUUUCUAACAUUAUCCAAGAAUUUUCGGUUUUGCAUUUUUUUACAUUGCCUUUUAAUGUUUUUGUGCCAUUUAUCAAGAAAAUAUCACCAUGUAUUAGAACACUUUGUAUAAAGCUUUAUAGUGUCACAUUGCUUUAGAAGUAUAAAAUACUAGUACGUGCUUACUCCAGCUUCACGAGCUAAGACUGUUGAUGAAUAUUCAGAUUACAAAAUUACAAUGAAUAAUGGUUGUUUAAUUUCGUUCAACAAAUCAUUUAGUCGGCCACAUCAAUUCACCCGAUGGCCAUAACGUCAUAUUUCGGCUUGGCCUUUGUCUCCAUUUUGUAAACAUAAUGGGAACUGUCUUAGAUCCGUAAAACUAGAAUUUGUAUAAUUUGCUGGGUAAUCAAGCUUUUUGAACGAAUGAAAGCCUUGCUGAAAUCAUUGCACUAAAUUCUUGACAAUUGAGUAAGUUAAUCAAUUAUUUCACGCAGUUUCAUUGCUUGACAUAAUUUAUUGACUUAAUUAACUUAUCAGGGUGAGUAAUUAUCUUCAAAAUUCUUGAAAGUACUAUUAAUCAACAGACGCUUAUAAUUAAAGACAUUUUAGGUUCGAAGAAUUACAUGUAUAUGUAGUGUACGUCGUAUUACAUGUACGUUUUCUAAAACGAAAAUGGCAAAUAAAGCUAAUCAAAAUUUGGGCAUUUAAACAAUUUUUUUUAUUUUCAAAAAAUGUAUGAAAAUACUAAAAUUCGUGUUUUCAUUUAUCUAGCUCAUUGUUUCAAUUCACUUCUCUAGUCAUUUAAUGGGUUUGAUUUUUUCGGAGAUAUAAUCCUUUGGGUGAGAUAACUCUUAUUCAAAGUCAAAUCUCGUGGAAACGUUGAAUAUGAGUACUCAUCGAUAUCCAUCAUCCAUUUUACCCUUGUUUUGUUUCAUCAUUCGCUCCAACAAAAAUUUAAAGUUCCGAUUUUUCAAUCCAGAUUUUCGAUCUUUACGAUUCGGUUGCAGCACUGUUAUUGUGCUUUAUGAUUCGGGAACAUGAGUUCCAAAGUGCUCAUUGGUAUCACUCUCUUCUGUAUAUAGUUCAUAGUUGUAAAUAAUAAUUGUAAACAGUAUCAAAUGCACCAUGACAAUUUAUGUACAUAUUGGUUUGUUUUGUGUAAAAUAUUUGAUGUUCACUUGUAUAGCAACUACAAGUAAUCUCUGUUAAUUUUGUCAAAUCGGCGUAUUCACAUUCAUAUCCGAUAGAAUGGAAAGUGGUGUUCAUCCUCAACAUGGAAUAUUUUAAUGAGCAUUGUGACUGAAUAUAGUGUUUGUGAAGCACGCAUGAUUUCAAAAUGAACACAAGUUCAUAUUAUGUUGCAUAUGUAAAUAUACAACUAUACCUAGAAACGAGAGAUAUACCUCUUAAAGAUUAGAAAUUUAUUCUUUUCUGACACAGAACCUUUUGAAACAGAAGCUUUUUAUAUUAAUCUGAACACAAUCAGAAUAAUUUCGUACUUCCGUUUCUAGGGAUACAGUUGUGCCAAAUUGUUGCUUGCACGAUCUCAUUAAGUACAUGUCUGCAAAGAAAAAUAUGUCCCAUUGAAAUAGGAAUCGCUUUGUAGAUCCAUUGUUUCUGUGGUAAUGAUAUCAUGAGCUAGUGGGUGGGGGUUAGUCAAAACACUCCAUUGUCAAGUUUGGUUGCAAAAUUUCAACUUGAAAAGAUGUUAGCUUAGAAGUAAACAUUGGGAUUUGGCCAGUAAUCACAUUGUUCAAAAUAUACGUAGAUUAGUAUAGUCUAAUAAAUUUUGCCUAGUUUCAGAUAGUUUGACAGAUUUUGGUUUAACGGAUUCAUUUUUAUUUGGCUGCCUCUUUUCAUAUCAAAAGAAAAACAACUAUUGAUAACUUGUAAGUUCCUCUUGACUCCAUUCUUACAAAAUAUCUCGUCACAUUUUGAUGACAUAAUUGCUACCUUGUGGUAAACGUCGCCUGGUCCAUUUUGACAUCAUCACAUAUUGUGAUGACGUAUUAUGGGGUUUUGUAAAUCAAACUGACUAACAACUGAGAGAACUAUAAUUUUGCUUGCAAACAAUACAUUCCUAUACAUGUAAUAGUUCUUCUGUUUCUAGCCUUAAAUUUUAAUUUUUGAAUACUUUUUGUUACCCCAGUUAGAUCCCUAUUUAUUCUAUGAUAUUGUAUCAUUUUUAAACAAUGAUAGCACCAUAUAAUAACAAAAAUUUAUAAGGCUCGCUUAUAAAUUUUUGUUGAGACCCUUCGUCGAACAAAUAUGGUGCAAAGUCUGAUGAAUAUGCAAUAUUUUGGAAGGUUUUUAGAUUAUCACCCUUUUAUACUCCGGAAUUUCAUAUUGUCAACAAUUCAUUCAUAAUGAAUCGUUGAUAUUGUGUAUGCAUGACUUCCCAAUGCCUCAGUGUAUUAAUGAGCUGUCGAAAACGCACCAAUUUAUGUACAGUUUGGGGAUGGUUUUGUUGGUUUGUAACAUCAGGGAUCCUUCGCACCCAUGACGAAAACUUCAAUUUUUAGAAAUCUAAAAUACAUGUACUUUCAUUAAAGUUGGAAUUAUGUAUACAGGUAUUAUUUUGAUAUUAAGAUACUAGUAUAUGUUUUUUCAAUGUUUGACUUUUUCCUUUCUAAUUCUUUGACUUUUCGCAGUUCAUGCAAUCUGUCAUGUCGAAUGUCUAGAAAAUUGAUGAAUAUGUGCAAUCGAUGAAACGUAGCAUUAGAAUAAAUAUGUUGGAGAAAACAAUAUAAUUUUUACCGAAAAAAAAAAAAAUUGUCAAAAAAAUGUCCUUUCUAAUAUUUAGCCACGAGUAAGAGUUUUCGUCAUAGGUCUGCGUUUGGAAGUAGAGAAUAACACCAUUUUAGAUAUCCAUGUAUAACAACUGUUUCAAGAAUCAAACAAUUACUGGUGAAGGGUGGUACCAACCUUAGCAAGUCAUAGUCUAGUUGUGUCUAAUUUGAAAUAUUUUACUGGGAAGUGGAAAGUAUCACUCCAACAACAAAUCUUCAAAAUCUUUGCGAAGCAGUGUGUUUGAUACCAAACUUAGCUAAUUUGAUGUUAAAUGAUGGUAAGCUAGUCAGUGAAUGACUUGUAUAGGAUAUAUGGGCAUUUUGUGUGAAUAAUGUUGGUAAGAAACGUUUUAAGCAUUUUCUCUCCUCAUGAAUGUUUUCUUGACACUUAUUAAGAGUGUACAUGUAGCAAAUCGGGGAAGAUUUUUGAUAGCACUGUCUCAAUAUUUAAAGAAACGUUAUUUUCUCAGUCCUAUGGAAAAUUCUAGAAUCGCGAUAACUCUAGGUUGGUAUUGGUUAUAUAGCUAUCAUUUGAACAAAAUUACUUGUCACAUAGUUUUGGCUAGGCCACUUUUCAUAGUACGAGGUCUACAUAUUUGGGAAUUCUCUCAAAUCGAAAUAUGCAUGGGAUGACCAUAACGAAUUUUGUGGUCAGUUAUUCAUUCUGCAGUCAGUUUUAGUGCGGGGGCUAAACAAACUAGGGUCUCUUUUCGGUUGAUUCAGAUUCUGGAGUUUGUCAUGUUUUUCCAUAGAUAUAAGAUAACAUAAGCAAACCUGAUAAUCACGGUCAUUUUCCAGAUCUGUUAUUUCAGUCGGAAAUACUGAUAUACCUACGCUGCAUUAUAUCUUUUCCCUGGAUUAAUUGUCAAAAAUACUAAGAGUCACUGACCUGUCUGCAGUCGUCCAGCACCACCACAGUUCUCUGCCACUUCUAGAAAGGUCAUAGACAGUACGUUUUGAUUGACGAAAUGAGAGAGAUCAAUAUAGAGAAAGAAGUGGCAUUGAAUCGUACUCGAGGCCGACUGGAAAAAGUGGGUUUUAGGCAACACUAGAGCAUUUUAAGGGGUCAUAAUUUCUUGUUAGAGUUUUCAGAGGUUGCUUGAUGAAAUAUUGUAAUAGAAAAAUAUUCCAACUUUUGAAGUGAUCUCAUUUGUAUCAUAGAUAAACUAUUGUUUUGUUUUUUUUGUACUCGAGACGUGCAAUAUAUUUUUGUUAAUCCAGAAAAAAGAAAUGGAAAUUGAAUAAACUGAAUAAAAUUUGAAAACUCC